This 55-nucleotide transfer RNA is filed under the name Xiphophorus maculatus (southern platyfish). It matches the Rfam family "tRNA", at positions 10 to 63 of the family's 71-position model. Rfam says of the family: Transfer RNA (tRNA) molecules are approximately 80 nucleotides in length. Lineage: Eukaryota; Metazoa; Chordata; Actinopteri; Cyprinodontiformes; Poeciliidae. The record is from Rfam by way of RNAcentral.
GUACAGUAGUGAGUAUCCCCGCCUGUCACGCGGGAGACCGGGGUUCGAUUCCCUG